UACGAAGGGGGCUAGCGUUGCUCGGAAUCACUGGGCGUAAAGCGCACGUAGGCGGCUUUCUAAGUCAGGGGUGAAAUCCUGGAGCUCAACUCCAGAACUGCCUUUGAUACUGGAGAGCUUGAGUCCGGAAGAGGUGAGUGGAACUCCGAGUGUAGAGGUGAAAUUCGUAGAUAUUCGCAAGAACACCAGUGGCGAAGGCGGCUCACUGGUCCGGUUCUGACGCUGAGGUGCGAAAGCGUGGGGAGCAAACAGG
Molecule: ribosomal RNA, 253 nt
Filed under: uncultured bacterium
Lineage: Bacteria
Description: partial 16S ribosomal RNA
Rfam family: Bacterial small subunit ribosomal RNA
Source: RNAcentral